CCUACGGGUGGCAGCAGUGGGGAAUAUUGCACAAUGGAGGAGACCCUGAUGCAGCGACGCAGCGUGAAUGAUGAAGUCAUUCGUUAUGUAAAGCUCUAUCAGCAGGGGAGAAAAUGACGGUACCUGAGUAAGAAGCCCCGGCUAACUACGUGCCGGCAGCCGCGGUAAUACGUAGGGGGCAAGCGUUAUCCGGAUUUACUGGGUGUAAAGGGAGCGUAGACGGCAGUGCAAGUCUGGAGUGAAAGUCGGGGGCUCAACCCCCGGACUGCACUUGAAACUGUAAGGCUGGAGUGCAGGAGAGGUAAGGGGAAUUCGUGGUGUAGCGGUGAAAUGCGUAGAUAUCAGGAGGAACACCAGUGGCGAAGGCGGCUUACUGGACUGCAACUGACGUUGAGGCUCGAAAGCGUGGGGAGCAAACAGGAUUAGAUACCCGGGUAGUC
Molecule: ribosomal RNA, 440 nt
Filed under: uncultured bacterium
Lineage: Bacteria
Description: partial 16S ribosomal RNA
Rfam family: Bacterial small subunit ribosomal RNA
Source: RNAcentral